This 108-nucleotide microRNA precursor is filed under the name Trypanosoma vivax Y486. Lineage: Eukaryota; Euglenozoa; Kinetoplastea; Trypanosomatida; Trypanosomatidae. The record is from RNAcentral.
GAGAGAGAGAGAGAGAGAGAGAGAGAAAAGCAAGACUGGCUGUGAGUGAAAACAUGUAAAUAUUCGCAAUGUUAGAUGCCGUUGUCUCCUCGCCUGUUUCUCUUUCAC